RNAcentral lists this long non-coding RNA (2986 nucleotides) under Salvia miltiorrhiza (redroot sage). RNAcentral's name for it is "long non-coding RNA (SMIL_LNC006609)". The record is from RNAcentral. Lineage: Eukaryota; Viridiplantae; Streptophyta; Magnoliopsida; Lamiales; Lamiaceae.
UGGAUAGGAGGAAAAAACACAGAACUCCUACGCAAGAAACAUAAAACAUUAUCUUGUUUUGUUGGAUGUAAAGCAAAAGAGAGAGCAACUGAUUUUCUCGGAAUGAAAGGUGGCGUAAAUUGUAAUGGGGCAGCCCAAUAAGUUGGCCCAAACACAAAAUAGCCAUUCAUCCCACAUCGAAAAGACGGAGAAACGUAUGCCUCUUUAUAAUGGGACGGCGUAGCAGACAGAUUGCCGGGCUCGGUAGCGCGAGCCUGUGACCUAAGCAGGGGCAUUAAGGCGGGAUCGGAGGUUGCAGUGGUGGAAGGAGGAGGAGGGCGGACUUAGUCCGAAACCCGUGCUGAACUUGGCCCCACAUCAGGGAUUCUAGCUCGAUUGUCGAGCGGAUUGGAAUCGAGGCUCUCAUAGAGAGAUGAACGGCUCGUUUGACGAGUUGCGGGACGGCGUCGUGGUCGUGACCUUUAAUUAAGGGUUGUGUCUGUACACGUUAAUUGCUGGCUUGGCAGAGCAGCAUGCGCCGAUACAGGGGGGGCCAUGUUGACGACCCACAGUCGGGGGUGGUUUAAGCCCUGUUCUCUUCGAUUACCUCCACUUCAACCGAACCUCGACCUUUUGCUAUUUUCAUUUUCUCCUUCCACAUUAGAUUAUUACCCAUAUAGACGUUAGCUCUACUAGAAUUUUAUUGAGGGGAAUCUUUUUGGUUCUUUUAGUUUGCUUGAACAAUUCUUUCUUCCAUGGAAAAUUGAAUUAUAUGCACCGUCAUGAAUUGAGUUUUUCUCUCUUCAUUUAUUGUGGUUAAAACGAAUAAUUAGAUUAGCACAUGUCGAUCUUUGUUGAGGCUGAGCUGAGUUGCUUUGUUUUUUAUCAGUACUCCAAUUCUAUAUAAUAUCCAUUUAUUCUUCAUUUUUGUAGAUUUGUAGCCUCUCAUGCGAUCUUGUCUUCACAUAUAACACCACUCUGUUUCCUUCUAUGAAAGGCGAAACCCUUCUCGCAGCGGCGAAUUUAUAAACCUUGAAACAACUAUUUGAAUCCAAUGUUUGCAAUUAUCUGUAGAAGAGGAGUAAUUAGGGUUCCGGGAAAAGAUUCAAUUUCUGUUGCCCUAAGAUUCCUCGCGCAUUUCUCCUGGGUGAACUCGUAUUCAACUUCAGAUGGCGGCGGCGGCGAUGCUGGAGGCCAAUCUUUGACCAUCUCUUACCUCGUCGGCGCGUGUGGGCUGCCGGAGAAGGCCGCCGUCUCUGCAUCAAAGAGUCUGUGCAUCAAAUCCCGAGAAAAUCCAGACGCGGUGUUGGAGCUCCUCAAAGACUACGGAUUCACAGAUUCCCAAAUUUCGAGGAUCGUUAGUAGAUGGCCGCGCGUUCUGCAAUGCAGCCCCGACAAAACCCUGAUGCCGAAGCUCGAAUUCUUCCGCUCGAUCGGCGUUCCCGAUUGUAUCGCGGCGCAGCGCCUAUCUGUCUUCCCUAGGAUCUUACAGCGCAGUCUCCGAAACCAUCUCAUCCCCUCGUAUAAUUACUUGAAAGGAUGGGUGCGAUCCGAGGAGAGGGUGGCGAUCGUGUUUAAACGCGCUCCGUUGGCGUUUUCGAGCGGCUGGCCGAAGGCGAUUCCGUCGAACGUCGCCAUGUUGAGAGAGAGAGGGAUGCCCGAGUCGUGUAUUGUUUCGUUGGUGGGGUGGAAGCCUAAUAUGCUGCUGCUCCGCCGCGAUAAGUUGUGUGGGUUUGUGGAUCGAGCUGCUGAGAUGGGAUUCGACGCGUCCACAAUGGCGUUCGUGAGUGCACUCCAGGUGUUCUACAGUAUGCCUGAGAGGGCUCUGCAGCGUAAAAUGGAGAUUUAUAGAAGCUGUGGGUGGUCCGAAGACGCGGCCACUUCGGUCUUCCUAAGGUUUCCCGCUUGCAUGGCGUUGUCCGAGACCAAAAUAAGAGCGAAUAUGGAUUUUCUGGUUAAGGAGCUGGGAUUCAAGCCCGUCGAGGUGGCCCGAUGCCCUUCGCUUCUGAGCUACAAUCUGGAGAGGAGGAUGAUGGGGAGGUGGAUGGUGGUCAAGGCUUUGGUUGCGAGAGGGUUGUUGAAGAAGGAGCCCAUCGCCGCCGCCGCCAUCUCCACCUUGUUCAAAAUGGCCGAGGACAAGUUCGUCAAGAGCUACAUUGUUUAUCAUCAACAAGAGAUUCCUCAGCUCCUCGACUUGUAUCGAGGCAACUUGAGCCUCUCUCAACUUCUAACGUCUGAUUGAAGGGUCGCGUGUUUGGUUGAUUGCUUAGCUUAUUCAAUCCUCAAUUUGAAUUUUGAUCUGUGACGAAUUUGGACAGUUGAGCUAAUUACUAUAUAGAUUAGACUAUGGUUUAGUUAUGGAGCAUAUAGCUCAUAUUCUACCAAACUUGAUGGCUUUCUUUGCUUCUGUGAUUUCUUUUGUGCCCAUAUAUUAAUAACAUUAAUAUAUUUUUAUAUCCAUGUUCAAUCUCAACGGUAAUAUAUGAUAUUUAAGUAGUAAUAUCUUGAUAAUUCAAAUAUUUACUGCAACCAAAAUUGAAAAGGUAUUACAAUGUUAUAUUAAUACGAAAUAGUUUAUUUAAUCUUAUAUUUAUAUUAAAUAAUAUCUUAAUAAUUCUUAACAUUUACUACCAUUAAAAUCGAAAAGAGGUAUCACCAAAAAUUAUUUAUUUUUAGAACCUCAUUUAUUUGUCAAACUUAAUAAAUAGUAUAAAUCAAAAUACAUGUGAUAAGCUGAACUAUUUAGGAUUUUCAAUUAGAAUAAAGAGGCUAUAGUUCAACUACUCAAAACCCGUCUAGAUUAUAUAAAUACACGUACCCGUCGUAAACCACUUAAAAGUGAUUUUACUAUUAACUCUAAUCUCAAACAUGUGUAUUAUACUCACUAUUCACCUGAACCUAGACUACCUAAUUGAAUUUGUAAAAAAAUAUUGUUACACUAAUUUAUUAUCUGUUACAGUAAUAAAUCGACAUUACAAAGUAAAUAUUAAUAUAACUAAAUAACAAA